CUAGCCUUUACUUAACAACAUAAGCGAACUCUAUGUUACAAUGAUUGCACAGCCAUUAAGGAUCAAAUCAGUUUCUGAAAAAUGUUCUGUUUUUUCUCCCUCUGCUUGCUUCUUACUGUCUUUGAGGCUCGGGACCAGCACUCCUGUUGUUGGACAGAAAGACAUCAACUCAGUGACUUGAGAUGUGACUGCACUAUGCUGUUGCUGGUGACCACAGUUAAUUCUACAAGACAUGCUGUGUAAGUAAACAAACAACAACAGUUUGGUCUGCAUUUCUUGAAAGAUCACAUCCCCCAAACUUAGUUUAGAGUGUCUACACUGUAUAUAGUGAAGUCUGCAAGUUUUCUAACAGCAAAAUUUGUUUUGUGCCCAAAUCAAUGAUUUUGCACAUCAUUAGAAUGAAAGUUAUUGCCCAUGUUUGCAUAGCCCUUUUUAAAAUAAUGCUUUCAUGACAUUAUUGUGUGUAGGGUGGUGGUCACAGCUAUCCAGACUGACAAUUGGGACAUUGAAUGUCACCUCUCCAGUGGGAAGGGAGCCUGAGAUUGUCUAAAUUGGAGUCUGUUUUAUACCAAAUGCAGAAAAAAAUGUUUUAAGAAAGCAAUU
RNAcentral lists this long non-coding RNA (603 nucleotides) under Oreochromis niloticus (Nile tilapia). Its description in RNAcentral is "lncRNA (ENSONIG00000031162.1)". Lineage: Eukaryota; Metazoa; Chordata; Actinopteri; Cichliformes; Cichlidae. The record is from RNAcentral.